This is a long non-coding RNA of Varanus komodoensis (Komodo dragon), 3780 nucleotides long. RefSeq lists it as uncharacterized. NCBI's taxonomy places the organism in Eukaryota, Metazoa, Chordata, Lepidosauria, Squamata, Varanidae. The record is from RefSeq and is a predicted model, not a curated record. The transcript has 2 exons.
UUGCAAGACCGAUUGACCACAACAGGUCACACCCCUGCCUGUGCUCUCCCGCCGCUAUCUGGAAUCGUGCAGGGGCGUCCAACCACGGACGACCUCGUUUAUGACGUCGGGCGAGGAAGGGUUUUAUCCGUGCGGCGCGGGGGGGGGGUUAGGGAAAGAGGAGCGAGGGAUGGCUCACAGGCAACAUUGGAGGGAUUAUAGAUUCAAACGUGUGCCCGCGAUACUUUUGAUUGACCGAACAGAAAUGUUCUUUUUCUAAACUCAUUUUUAGUUUUAGAAUGUUUUCGAGUUUAAAACAAACCUAAGGCAUACAACUCUUGUGCUCAGUUCUGGUCGCCUUACCUGAAAAAGGACAUAAUUGAGUUGGGAAAAAAAGUGCAGAGAAGGGCAGCAAAAAUUAUGGGGCUUGAGCAGGCCCUCUAUGAGGAGGAGCUGCAACAACUGGGACUGUUCAGCUAGGAAAAAAAGGCGAGUAAGGGGUGACCUGGUAGAGGUGUUUAAAAUAAUGCAUAGUGUGGAGAGGGUGACUCACCUCCAUUACACCCAAACUAGGGAUCAUCCCUUGAAGCUGAGUACUUCUUCAGACAGCCUAUAGUUAAAUUGUGGAAUUAGCUGCCACAGGAAGUGGAUAUGACUGCCAAUCAGGAUGGCUUUAAAAGGGGACUGGACAGAUUCAUGGAGGAAGAGGCUCUCAGUGGCUUUCUGCUGUAUCCCUCAUCAGAGGCAGCAAACCUUCAUGCACCAAUUGCUGAGGAGCUUGGGCAGGCAGAGGUUUUGCACCCAUCCUGUGUGAGGGAUCCUGGGCAGCUGGCUUGCCAUGGUGUGUUUGCCCUGGAGUGCUGGACUAGAUGGACCUUUGGUCUAAUCCUGCAUGGCUUAUGUUCUAAGGCACUGCAAAGCUUCCAAAUGGACCACUGAGUUGAGCAAAGUAAUGGUAAGGCAUUUGCAGAACUGGCAGCCUUGUGCAUAAAAUGGCAAGCUUCUAGCUUUGGCCUAUCCAUGUUCAUUUAGAAAUAAGUCCCACAGGGUUCAAUAGGACUUACACUCAAGUCCAGUGAAGUCUGCAUAGGACUGCAGCCAAAAUUUCAGCCUAUGGUUUUAGAAUGGGAGUAGGCAGCUUUGUGGUGUCUGUAAGCCUGUUUGGCAAGUGAAGAAUGGGCUUACAGACCAGUUGUCUGAUAAAGUGUAUUUUAGUUUCCCAGGCCUUUAGUCUUUGUUUUUAAGGGUUGGUGGCUAGCUGGGGCAUGCUGAGUUGUGCGCCGUUUAUCUUGCCUAAACUUGCCCGGAAUUGUGUCUUAAAUACCUUUUUAGAACUGUACACUGCUGCUGACUCUUGUUUUGAUGUAUACUUUGGCUCGAUAUUGUUUUAAACUUCUAAUGGGAUUGCAUUUUAUGCUGCAUUAUUGGGGUUUUACUUUUGUGAACCCUCCAGGAGCUUGGGCUAUUAGACAGUAUAUGAAAUAUAGUAAGUAAAUGUGAUUUUGGUGUAAGUUGGACAGGAGAAAGUUAAUGGUCCAAGCUGCUGGCCAGGUAUGACUGUGCAUGCCUUCUGCUAUGUCAACUGCAGACUCUGAGUUGCCAUGGGGUAUUUUAACAAAUUACUUCUUGAUGCAGGAUCAUUUGGUAAAUGUUCCGAAUAAGAAAAGUCAGCCAAAGAAGGAAGUGGAACUUCCCUGUGCCCAGCUAUGGAUGAGCUAAUCUAGAAGUGCUUCAUGCCUCUACCAGUGGAAAAAGUGUUGAUUAGAGGAUUUUGCCUUUGUGAGCCAAAGGUGGGCAGAAUUAUAGAUCAAAGGUUACUGAUAAAUCUCCACAAGAUGUGUAGUAGAGCACAAAGGUUUAUUUUUUUGUUGUCUAUUUCUUUAUCAUAUUCCAAUUUUUCUUCUGCAAGGAAACUUAGGGAGCUUAUAUAAUCCUCCUCACCCUGUUGUCCUCACAGUAACCUUUGGCUAAGUCUGUAAAAUGGCACAAAGUCACCUAGUGAGCUUCAUGUUGGAUGAGGAUUAGAACCUGCAUCCAGUCCAGCACUUUAAUUUUUAUACCACACAGGCUCUCAGCAAAAUGGUUCCUCCUCCUCAGAAUGUAUGCCAUUCAAAUGAAGAAAGCUGGGGCAGGGUGAGCGAGCAACCAGGAGUAGAUUUUUGUGUUGGAAGAGUUCAACUCAGUUCUGGUAUUGAAAUCAUUUUUUAAAAAUCUAAGUUUUUUGUAGUGAGCUCUGAUUGGAUUCUCUCAGGAUUCUGGCAUCUGCAGGAAAGGGGCAUCUGCAGACAAAGGACAAAUACAGUUUUAAAAGAAAAAGAUGCAACAAGGUAACUCAUCCCAUAGGUAUGCAGAGCACAGAAAUCUAGGUGGGUGUUAAGCCAGAACAGGGUACACUGUGUUAUGAGUAGCAACAAAGGAUUGCACAUAAUGGCCCUGCCCAGUGUGUGCCACUCCUUUCCUCUCAGUUCCAGCCUUGCUGUGUUGAAGAGCUGUUUUCCUCUUGUUUAAUGGAACUCAAGUAGAAUUCUCUGCAUGUGUCCCCAGGUCUUUGCAGAGCAUGAGUGAGCAGAACUGCUCAGGCCUUCCCUUUCACCACAUCAAGGUUGGAACUGAAGGCCCUACAUGGUGGAGUUUGUGGGGUCGUAGCCUCAUGCCUAUACCCAUGCAUUACUGGGCGCUGUUUAUUCAUAUGUAAUAUCUGAACAGGACUGGUGCUUAUUGAUUGGCUACACUAAAAAAAAGACGCAAUGUGUUGUAGUAACAUGUGUGUUUUUCCCCAGCUCUUCAGCCUAAAAGACCCCAGAGCAGCUAGUUCAAAGAGGAGGAGCAAAAUGGAAACAAUUUCUCAACAGAGGGAUGAGCCCUUAAGCUAAAAGCAUCUUGGUUGGGGAGAAUCUCAAUUGUAAAAAUGAAUGAAUGUGUUACCUAAACUGAACUUUAUUUUCCAAAUGUUACCAACUGUGAUCCCGAAAAAAGUUUUUCAAGACAGUUAAAUAGUUUUAUUUGGAAUGGCAAGAAACCAAGAAUCAGAUUCAAAAUAUUACAGGACACAAAGGAGAAAGGAGGUCUUGCUGUACCUAAUUUGAAGUUAUAUUAUUAUGCAGCAAGCCUGGUCUACAUUGCAGAUUGGAUUUUAAAUGUUAAUGAUAAACGAGUAAAGUUGGAACUGGCUGAUCUUGAAGAUGUAAUACACAAUAUUUUAUGGGCUAAAACAUCAGUUAAGAAGGCUCUGAUCAUAAAUAACCAUGUGCUAAGAGAUGGUUUAAUAAAAAUGUGGUAUUCCAUGAGGGAAAAAAAUAGUCCUCCAAUUUCCCCCCUGAUGUCCCUGGUUGAAGCAUAUGGAAAACACUCAAGAAGAUGUUAUUGACCAAUCAAGACAAAUUAAAUCUUGGCAACAACUGAAAGAUGAUGGAAAAAUAUACAAUGGCUUGUUUAUCAUCAAUUGAUUUCAAGACUGAAGGGGAAAGCUCAACCAGAAGAAGGCAUUUUAAGAGAUCUGACAGAUUUUGAAAUGUUGAUUACACAGCGGAAUGAUCACUUACUGGGAAGACUUUACAAACUGUUAUUACACUAUGAUACUGAAAGCCACUAAGAUAAGAAACAUGACAAUCUGGAAACAAUCUUGGUGAAGAAAUACCAUCUGGCCAGUGGGAAGCUCUUUGGAAGAAAGACAUUAAGUUCACUGCUAGUCAAGCAUUAAGAGAACAUUGAGCGUGGGAAGAUAUGAAGAGAGUUGGUUCUGGGAGCUGCAGUAUAUGGGCUGUGUUUGUACUUCUCUUGGAAAUUUGGUUUUUAACUUUA